This 425-nucleotide ribosomal RNA is filed under the name uncultured Zavarzinia sp. RNAcentral describes it as "bacterial SSU rRNA". It matches the Rfam family "Bacterial small subunit ribosomal RNA", at positions 354 to 796 of the family's 1533-position model. Lineage: Bacteria; Pseudomonadati; Pseudomonadota; Alphaproteobacteria; Rhodospirillales; Zavarziniaceae. The record is from RNAcentral.
GUGGGGAAUAUUGGACAAUGGGCGCAAGCCUGAUCCAGCAAUGCCGCGUGAGUGAUGAAGGCCUUAGGGUUGUAAAGCUCUUUCACCCACGACGAUGAUGACGGUAGUGGGAGAAGAAGCCCCGGCUAACUUCGUGCCAGCAGCCGCGGUAAUACGAAGGGGGCUAGCGUUGUUCGGAAUGACUGGGCGUAAAGGGCGCGUAGGCGGUUGACCAAGUUGGGGGUGAAAGCCCGGGGCUUAACCUCGGAAUUGCCUCCAAAACUGGUCGGCUUGAGUGUGGAAGAGGGUUGUGGAAUUCCCAGUGUAGAGGUGAAAUUCGUAGAUAUUGGGAAGAACACCAGUGGCGAAGGCGACAACCUGGUCCAUUACUGACGCUGAGGCGCGACAGCGUGGGGAGCAAACAGGAUUAGAAACCCGUGUAGUCC